This 253-nucleotide ribosomal RNA is filed under the name uncultured bacterium. RNAcentral describes it as "partial 16S ribosomal RNA". It matches the Rfam family "Bacterial small subunit ribosomal RNA", at positions 524 to 776 of the family's 1533-position model. The record is from RNAcentral.
CACGUAGGGGGCGAGCGUUGUCCGGAUUCAUUGGGCGUAAAGGGCGCGCAGGCGGCCCGGAAAGUCGGAUGUGAAAACUCGAGGCUCAACCUCGAGCGUGCACCCGAUACUGCCGGGCUUGAGGCAGGUAGGGGAGAUCGGAAUUCCUGGUGUAGCGGUGAAAUGCGCAGAUAUCAGGAGGAACACCGGUGGCGAAGGCGGAUCUCUGGGCCUGUCCUGACGCUGAGGCGCGAAAGCUGGGGGAGCGAACAGG